Passer montanus (Eurasian tree sparrow) is the source of this 423-nucleotide non-coding RNA. Lineage: Eukaryota; Metazoa; Chordata; Aves; Passeriformes; Passeridae. The record is from the annotation of a RefSeq genome assembly.
GCAGGGCUCCGGGCGGCCGUGACCCUGCUGGAGUCCGGGGGGGACCUCCAGCCCCCCGGGGGGUCCCUGCGCCUCCUCUGCCGAGGCUCCGGGUUCAGUUUCGGCAGUUUUGGGAUGGGCUGGUAUCGCCAGAGACCCGGGCAGGGGCUGGAAUACGUCGCAAGUAUCAACAGCAAUGGUGCUUACACCGGCUACGCGCCCUCGGUCAAGGGCCGGUUCACGAUCUCCAGGGACAACGGGCAGAGCUCGGUGACGCUGACCAUGAACAACCUCAAGGACGAGGAUUCCGGAUCCUAUUUCUGUGCCAAACGUGCUUAUGCUGAUGGUUAUGGUGCACGGCUCUGGUCCCGCGGCUGUGGCACUGGGAAGGCGCCAGCAGCUCUCGUGCCCGGCCGCAGACACAGAACUCGCUGUGACAACUGA